Molecule: transfer RNA, 71 nt
Filed under: Marmota monax (woodchuck)
Lineage: Eukaryota; Metazoa; Chordata; Mammalia; Rodentia; Sciuridae
Description: tRNA.Sup
Source: RNAcentral
GGGGUUGUGGCUCAGUGGUAGAGCGUGCUCACCUAACGUGUGAGGCACUGGGGUCGAUCCUCAGCACCACA